AACAACUCAAUAUAACGACUCCCAAGUGUCAUCCUAUCCUUGGACAUUGCAGCUUUAGAAUCUUCUGCAUUUGUAAACUCCACAAAUGCUUCUCCACUUGGCCUCCCCUCUGAAUUCAAUACUAUAUGAACUGCAUCUUCGGAUAACACAAAAUCUUUAAAGAACUCCAUUAUAUCAUCUUUUCCAGCAGAAAAUGGCAAUCCCCUCAAUCUCAAUAUCCCUGUAUGUUCAGCAGAUUCCUUUGCUUCAUCACUAGAUUUGGCCCUUGGGGCAUUUCUGCGAGGUGAACCGCCACGAGCAUCAGCCACUUCAUUCGCUAUUGCCUUAUAAUAUUCCUGUCUCUUGCUUCUGAAAAC
Molecule: long non-coding RNA, 356 nt
Filed under: Gossypium raimondii (Peruvian cotton)
Lineage: Eukaryota; Viridiplantae; Streptophyta; Magnoliopsida; Malvales; Malvaceae
Description: long non-coding RNA (GRAI_LNC004846)
Source: RNAcentral